CUCGAUCGUGUCUCUUGCUUAUAAUAACUGAACAAUGGUAACGAUCAUGCAUGCUAUAUCUUUCUUUCACUAAUAAUCAAAUUAUUUUUACAUCACCAACGACGAAAAGCAAGCAAAGCAUCACUACGUAGACGAGACGGCAUGGCAUGCAUCAUCAAACGGCAAACAAACACAUAAAGCUUAGCGGAGGACACGCGCGCGCGCAUCCGGGAACUGCAUGAAAUGAAAACACAUGCACAACACGUGCAUGCAUAUAUGGACUUAUUUAGCCACCGACGAGACGACUAGCAGCUGGGGCGGCAGCCUAGCCUAGUAGUGGCAGGCGUAGUUGGCCUUCUUCAACAUGGCGGCCUGCGCGGCGGCGGCGAACUCGGAGGUGAGCCCGACGGCGACGCACUCCUUGACCUGGUAGGCGGUGUAGGCGAACUUCUCCUUCUUGGCGGCGAUGGCGUUGAUGUAGGCGGCGGCGCCCUCGCGCAGCAGGUCGCCGUAGCAGUCGGUCCGGGUGUUGCACAGCGCGUCCUGCAGGGUGUGGAUCUUGCUGCCGAAGAAGGCGUGGCACACCUCGCCGAGGG
This 575-nucleotide long non-coding RNA is filed under the name Triticum aestivum (bread wheat). Its description in RNAcentral is "long non-coding RNA (TAES_LNC014978)". Lineage: Eukaryota; Viridiplantae; Streptophyta; Magnoliopsida; Poales; Poaceae. The record is from RNAcentral.